AGGAUCAUAACUCAACGGUAGAGUGCAUUCUUGAUAAGGAUGAAAUAGUGGUUCGAUUCCACUUGAUCCUA
This is a non-coding RNA of Piptocephalis cylindrospora, 71 nucleotides long. The record is from the annotation of a GenBank genome assembly. NCBI's taxonomy places the organism in Eukaryota, Fungi, Zoopagomycota, Zoopagomycetes, Zoopagales, Piptocephalidaceae.